AAUUUGUGCCAGCCGCUGCGGUUAAACAAAAAAUAUAAAUAAAUUUUAUAAAUUUAUAAGUUAAAUUGAAUUUAUUUAAUUAAUAAAAAAUAAUUAGGUGAAAUUUUAUUAUUUUUUAAAAAGUUAAUAUAACCAAUAGAAUUGAGUCUUGAAAAUUUUAUUUUUAAACUAGGAUUAGAUACCCUAUUAUUUAAUUAUUUAUAAAUAUAAAGAUUAGAGUAUUAAUAGUUAUGGUCUUGAAACUCAAAAAAUUUGGCGGUAUUUUAGUCUAUUCAGAGGAACUUGUAAUAUAAUCGAUAAUCCGCGAUGGACCUUACUUAAUUUUGUAAUUUAAUUUGUAUAUCGCCGUUAUUUGAAGAUUUUAUAAGAAAAAUAAUUUUCUAAGAUUUUUAUAAAAAAAUAAAUCAGGUCAAGGUGCAGUUUAUGGUUAAGUUUUAUAUGGGUUACAAUAAGAUUACUUAUACGAAUUAAAAAAUGAAAUAUUUUUAGAAAGGUGGAUUUGAUAGUAAAUUUUUACAGAUAAAAGAAUUGAUUUUAGCCCUAAAAUAUGCACACAUCGCCCGUCACUCUUGUUAAUAAUAUAA
Molecule: ribosomal RNA, 584 nt
Filed under: Campsicnemus lawakua
Lineage: Eukaryota; Metazoa; Arthropoda; Insecta; Diptera; Dolichopodidae
Description: partial 12S ribosomal RNA
Source: RNAcentral